GAAGACUUCAACAUGAAACUCUACUGAAGUUAAAUCAUGUAGAGAUUGUUGACCGGGAAGUGACAGUUUCAGAGGUAAUCGUGCAUCUUAUUCCUGCAGUUUAUCGUGGAUAUGUUUUCAGCUAUGGGACGCAGAACAAAGUUGUGUGUUUGUUCGCGCUCGCCUGUGUGCCUGGAUUUGUGCGAGGUUAGGAUUAACCUCGGCUCAUGCUGAUUGGAAUGACGUCCAACACUGGCUCACUCACAGGCUGGAAGCCGCGUGUGUGUUUCGGGUCAGACAGAAAGAAGGAGGACACGGUGAUUACAAUUUACUGUCAACAUGACGCCGACUGCGUCGCCUUUAAUCUCUCACCUCACGUACACAAACGCACCCAAUGAAGGUUUAGCAGACCGACUGCUCCGCUGUACCUGGCGCGGUGCCUUUUGGCCCGGCUGUAAAUGGUUUACACAGGCGGCCCGGUGCUCGUGUAAUCUCUCUCUCACACUUGCGCGCACACUUCACAAUGUAAAUAAUCCACUUUGACAGUUUUUUAGAAACUUUUAGUAAAAUAAAUUAUGCAGCAUUCACCUCUUAUUCCUCUUGUAAAUAUGCAUCAAGGAGUCUUGGAUUAGGGGCUGGAAUCCUUUCCUAAAGCUCAUUGCAUGUGUGUGUGGUUGCGUCUUAAGCCAGG
This is a long non-coding RNA of Gasterosteus aculeatus aculeatus (three-spined stickleback), 670 nucleotides long. NCBI's taxonomy places the organism in Eukaryota, Metazoa, Chordata, Actinopteri, Perciformes, Gasterosteidae. The record is from Ensembl.